CAUGUUGUAACUUCCUCCAGAACAUAACCAGGCUUUCAACAUAGCUUUAUUGACCCAAAUCCUUUCGUAAUUGAUAUCUGCAACAGACAGAAAUUAAAAAUGAAUUAAAUCCAUUCUUUCACAGUGUUGUCAGAUACAAAACAAUCGGUUGUUUCGAGGAAACAAUCAGUUGUUUUUCUGCAACAGUAAAACAAAUUUUAAAUUUUUAAUCAUGAGCAGAAAGGAUUCAAAACAAAUGUAUUUGAACAUUUUAAAAGAGAUAUUUAAGCAUGAAUAUGAAUUUAAAAAGGAAUUAAAGAUAGAGAUAAGGAAGGUCUUAUCCUUUGUGAUGUUCCUUCAAUGAGUCAUAUGCCUUUUGAUCAAUAAACCUAUUUUGACUAUUGUGUACCUUGGAUUGAUACAUAACAUUGAUUCAGCUUCAAUGAUGAUCUUUUCCUUUCAAGAACCUGAUCAGAUGAAUUAGUGCCUCAUGUUUCUCUAGAUUCCCUACAUAAACAUGAAUUCAAGCAACAAGGUUUGGU
RNAcentral lists this long non-coding RNA (521 nucleotides) under Phaseolus vulgaris (common bean). RNAcentral describes it as "long non-coding RNA (PVUL_LNC002958)". The record is from RNAcentral. Lineage: Eukaryota; Viridiplantae; Streptophyta; Magnoliopsida; Fabales; Fabaceae.